UCAUCCACUCAAAAGUACUGUGCUAAAAUUGCUGUAUUGCUAGCAGAGUACAAUGCAGAAGAGCACUAGCCCUGCACCAGAAAUGAAACUGGGUCAGACCUCUUUCUUAAUGUCCCAUGACCUGUGUUUCAAUGUCCAGAGCAACACUU
Molecule: small nucleolar RNA, 149 nt
Organism: Triplophysa rosa
Lineage: Eukaryota; Metazoa; Chordata; Actinopteri; Cypriniformes; Nemacheilidae
Product: small nucleolar RNA SNORA81
Exons: 1
Source: RefSeq, a predicted model, not a curated record